This 1346-nucleotide ribosomal RNA is filed under the name uncultured bacterium. Its description in RNAcentral is "partial 16S ribosomal RNA". It matches the Rfam family "Bacterial small subunit ribosomal RNA", at positions 28 to 1381 of the family's 1533-position model. The record is from RNAcentral.
GACGAACGUUGGCGGCGUGCUUAACACAUGCAAGUCGAACGGAAAGGCCCUGCUUUUGUGGGGUGCUCGAGUGGCGAACGGGUGAGUAACACGUGAGUAACCUGCCCUUGACUUUGGGAUAACUUCAGGAAACUGGGGCUAAUACCGGAUAGGAGCUCCUGCUGCAUGGUGGGGGUUGGAAAGUUUCGGCGGUUGGGGAUGGACUCGCGGCUUAUCAGCUUGCUGGUGGGGUAGUGGCUUACCAAGGCUUUGACGGGUAGCCGGCCUGAGAGGGUGACCGGCCACAUUGGGACUGAGAUACGGCCCAGACUCCUACGGGAGGCAGCAGUGGGGAAUAUUGCACAAUGGGCGGAAGCCUGAUGCAGCAACGCCGCGUGCGGGAUGACGGCCUUCGGGUUGUAAACCGCUUUCGCCUGUGACGAAGCGUGAGUGACGGUAAUGGGUAAAGAAGCACCGGCUAACUACGUGCCAGCAGCCGCGGUGAUACGUAGGGUGCGAGCGUUGUCCGGAUUUAUUGGGCGUAAAGGGCUCGUAGGUGGUUGAUCGCGUCGGAAGUGUAAUCUUGGGGCUUAACCCUGAGCGUGCUUUCGAUACGGGUUGACUUGAGGAAGGUAGGGGAGAAUGGAAUUCCUGGUGGAGCGGUGGAAUGCGCAGAUAUCAGGAGGAACACCAGUGGCGAAGGCGGUUCUCUGGGCCUUUCCUGACGCUGAGGAGCGAAAGCGUGGGGAGCGAACAGGCUUAGAUACCCUGGUAGUCCACGCUGUAAACGGUGGGUACUAGGUGUGGGGUCCAUUCCACGGGUUCCGUGCCGUAGCUAACGCUUUAAGUACCCCGCCUGGGGAGUACGGCCGCAAGGCUAAAACUCAAAGGAAUUGACGGGGCCCCGCACAAGCGGCGGAGCAUGCGGAUUAAUUCGAUGCAACGCGUAGAACCUUACCUGGGUUUGACAUGGAUCGGGAGUGCUCAGAGAUGGGUGUGCCUCUUUUGGGGUCGGUUCACAGGUGGUGCAUGGCUGUCGUCAGCUCGUGUCGUGAGAUGUUGGGUUAAGUCCCGCAACGAGCGCAACCCUUGUUCACUGUUGCCAGCACGUUAUGGUGGGGACUCAGUGGAGACCGCCGGGGUCAACUCGGAGGAAGGUGGGGAUGACGUCAAGUCAUCAUGCCCCUUAUGUCCAGGGCUUCACGCAUGCUACAAUGGCUGGUACAGAGAGUGGCGAGCCUGUGAGGGUGAGCGAAUCUCGGAAAGCCGGUCUCAGUUCGGAUUGGGGUCUGCAACUCGACCUCAUGAAGUCGGAGUCGCUAGUAAUCGCAGAUCAGCAACGCUGCGGUGAAUACGUUCCCGGGGCU